AACGAACGCUGGCGGCAUGCCUAACACAUGCAAGUCGAACGAGACCUUCGGGUCUAGUGGCGCACGGGUGCGUAACGCGUGGGAAUCUACCCUUGGGUUCGGAAUAACAGUUAGAAAUGACUGCUAAUACCGGAUGAUGACGUAAGUCCAAAGAUUUAUCGCCCAAGGAUGAGCCCGCGUAAGAUUAGCUUGUUGGUGGGGUAAUGGCCUACCAAGGCGACGAUCUUUAGCUGGUCUGAGAGGAUGAUCAGCCACACUGGGACUGAGACACGGCCCAGACUCCUACGGGAGGCAGCAGUGGGGAAUAUUGGACAAUGGGCGAAAGCCUGAUCCAGCAAUGCCGCGUGGGUGAUGAAGGCCUUAGGGUUGCAAAGCUCUUUUACCAGGGAUGAUAAUGACAGUACCUGGAGAAUAAGCUCCGGCUAACUCCGUGCCAGCCGCCGCAGUAA
Molecule: ribosomal RNA, 449 nt
Filed under: uncultured bacterium
Lineage: Bacteria
Description: partial 16S ribosomal RNA
Rfam family: Bacterial small subunit ribosomal RNA
Source: RNAcentral